GAUGAACGCUGGCGGCGUGCCUAAUACAUGCAAGUCGAGCGAACAGACGAGAGUGCUUGCACUCUCUGACGUUAGCGGCGGACGGGUGAGUAACACGUGGGUAACCUACCUAUAAGACUGGGAUAACUUCGGGAAACCGGAGCUAAUACCGGAUAAUAUUUAGCUUCGCAUGAAGCAACAGUGAAAGACGGUUCUGCUGUCACUUAUAGAUGGACCCGCGGUGUAUUAGCUAGUUGGUGAGGUAACGGCUCACCAAGGCAACGAUACAUAGCCGACCUGAGAGGGUGAUCGGCCACACUGGGACUGAGACACGGCCCAGACUCCUACGGGAGGCAGCAGUAGGGAAUCUUCCGCAAUGGACGAAAGUCUGACGGAGCAAUGCCGCGUGAGUGAAGAAGGUUUUCGGAUCGUAAAACUCUGUUGUAAGGGAAGAACAAGUACGUUAGUAACUGAACGUACCUUGACGGUACCUUACCAGAAAGCCACGGCUAACUACGUG
This 499-nucleotide ribosomal RNA is filed under the name uncultured bacterium. RNAcentral describes it as "partial 16S ribosomal RNA". It matches the Rfam family "Bacterial small subunit ribosomal RNA", at positions 28 to 507 of the family's 1533-position model. The record is from RNAcentral.